Molecule: ribosomal RNA, 241 nt
Filed under: uncultured Glomus
Lineage: Eukaryota; Fungi; Glomeromycota; Glomeromycetes; Glomerales; Glomeraceae
Description: partial 18S ribosomal RNA
Rfam family: Eukaryotic small subunit ribosomal RNA
Source: RNAcentral
AGCAGCCGCGGUAAUUCCAGCUCCAAUAGCGUAUAUUAAAGCUGUUGCAGUUAAAAAGCUCGUAGUUGAAUUUCGGGGUUAGUAGAUUGGUCGUGCCAUUGGUACGUACUGGUCUUACUGAUUCCUCCUUCCUGAUGAACCGUAAUGCCAUUAAUUUGGUGUUGCGGGGAAACUGGACUGUUACUUUGAAAAAAUUAGAGUGUUUAAAGCAGGCUAACGCUUGAAUACAUUAGCAUGGAAU